Molecule: transfer RNA, 89 nt
Filed under: Candidatus Babelota bacterium
Lineage: Bacteria
Also listed under: 1 other name
Description: Candidatus Dependentiae bacterium tRNA-Leu
Source: RNAcentral
GCCGAGGUGGCGAAAUUGGUAGACGCGCAGGCUUCAGGAGCCUGUGGUGGUUACACACCGUGCCGGUUCGAGGCCGGCUCUCGGCACCA